GAGUUUGAUCAUGGCUCAGAUUGAACGCUGGCGGCAUGCCUUACACAUGCAGGUCGAACGGCAGCACGGGAGCUUGCUCCUGGUGGCGAGUGGCGAACGGGUGAGUAAUGCAUCGGAACGUAUCCUGGAGUGGGGGAUAACGUAGCGAAAGUUACGCUAAUACCGCAUAUUCUGUGAGCAGGAAAGCGGGGGACCUUCGGGCCUCGCGCUCUUGGAGCGGCCGAUGUCGGAUUAGCUAGUUGGUGAGGUAAAGGCUCACCAAGGCGACGAUCCGUAGCAGGUCUGAGAGGAUGAUCUGCCACACUGGAACUGAGACACGGUCCAGACUCCUACGGGAGGCAGCAGUGGGGAAUUUUGGACAAUGGGGGCAACCCUGAUCCAGCCAUGCCGCGUGAGUGAAGAAGGCCUCGG
Molecule: ribosomal RNA, 411 nt
Filed under: bacterium enrichment culture clone ALO1_GLFRUDD03HFMKP
Lineage: Bacteria
Description: bacterial SSU rRNA
Rfam family: Bacterial small subunit ribosomal RNA
Source: RNAcentral